This 240-nucleotide long non-coding RNA is filed under the name Eucalyptus grandis. Its description in RNAcentral is "long non-coding RNA (EGRA_LNC002435)". Lineage: Eukaryota; Viridiplantae; Streptophyta; Magnoliopsida; Myrtales; Myrtaceae. The record is from RNAcentral.
GAAGCUGAAGCCAGGCAAGAAAAGGCAAAGCAAGGGCAGGGAUUCUGCGCAGCCAGCCAAAAGGAAAAAGGCGUCGGAUCCCACUACUUGUCCUAGGCCCGCUGAAAAUCACGUAAGCAAUGGUCACGGUUCGAAAUCGAUGACAAACGACAGAGAAGUCCCAGAAACUAAUGAACCGUUACAAUCUACCGAUCCCUUGAAGAGCAAUCUCCAACUCCUGCCGAGCAAGCUUGACCUGAG